RNAcentral lists this long non-coding RNA (333 nucleotides) under Elaeis guineensis (African oil palm). RNAcentral's name for it is "long non-coding RNA (EGUI_LNC064269)". The record is from RNAcentral. Lineage: Eukaryota; Viridiplantae; Streptophyta; Magnoliopsida; Arecales; Arecaceae.
AGACAUCUAUUGUAGCAUGAGAACCGACAUCCAAAGUGGAAUCUUUCGAAGAAUGUGAAACAUAGUUGUGAUGUCUUUGAAGAAAAUAAGAUCAUUUCAGAAUGGAAUGCCAGGAAGCAUCUAAAAUUUUUUAUAAUAAGUUAAUAAAGUUUUCAUCUUUUACUUGGUUCACAACAGAAUAAGGAUCAAAUCUCUAAAGGAUUCUGAAUCCAAAGCCUCACAAAGGUUUGAACGAACAAACCCUUUACUUCAUGUGCAUGUCAGGCUUCCAAGGAAAGCAAGAUGAAGUGUUGAAUUAUUGUACCUCCACAAAGUAGCAAGGAGGGGAGGGAG